Long non-coding RNA from Homo sapiens (human), 686 nucleotides. Ensembl annotates it as long intergenic non-protein coding RNA 2931. The record is from Ensembl. NCBI's taxonomy places the organism in Eukaryota, Metazoa, Chordata, Mammalia, Primates, Hominidae.
CCCAGUCUGCCUGGCCCAGCCAACACUUCACCUUCUUUCUUAGCCAGUUUGCUGGGAGAACACCCUACCGGUAGCACAUCUUACCGUAUUCACCCCCUCCCAUCAAACUCGCCCCAAUUCUCUCUCCACAUCCAGAGCUCUCUCCCCAGGUUGGAAGGUCCUUCCCCAGACACCUGAAGAGAUGGGGGAAGGAGAAUCAAUUUGGAGAGCCAAGUUUGCCUGACAUUUUGGAGCACACAUUUACCCAGGACCCCAAGUUCCUUGUAGCUGCUAAAUGCUGUACUAGUUCUAAAAUGUAAAUUAGCUUCAAGGCAAGUGGAGAGAAGCCUUAGACUAUUCUGAGAUAUUUGUUCAUUCAUUUCUUUGCUUUGAGAAAGAAUCCUCCCAACGUGAUGGGAAAGAUAUCUCUGGGCCACAUUAUGGCUUCUGGCAGCAACUCUCAUCCUUAGUGCCUAGAUCUGGAGCCCCCACCAACCCUUUGUCCCCAAGUUACAUUUCCUUAGUCCAGGCCUAUUCCACCAUUUCAUCUUCUUUCUCCCUUCCUCGCUGAGGGGCAGAGGCCGCCUUUCUUUUGCCCAAGCUGAGAGGGAGAAUUCCUGAUCCCUAGGAAAAAUGCUGUCUCCACUCCCAAGGAACUUUGUGUAGUUUAGGAAUUGCAUUUUGUAAAAUCAAAUUGCCUGUUGCAA